GGGACACGUGGUAUCCUGUCUGAAUAUGGGGGGACCAUCCUCCAAGGCUAAAUACUCCUGACUGACCGAUAGUGAACCAGUACCGUGAGGGAAAGGCGAAAAGAACCCCGGCGAGGGGAGUGAAAAAGAACCUGAAACCGUGUACGUACAAGCAGUGGGAGCACGCUUAGGCGUGUGACUGCGUACCUUUUGUAUAAUGGGUCAGCGACUUAUAUUCUGUAGCAAGGUUAACCGAAUAGGGGAGCCGAAGGGAAACCGAGUCUUAACUGGGCGUUAAGUUGCAGGGUAUAGACCCGAAACCCGGUGAUCUAGCCAUGGGCAGGUUGAAGGUUGGGUAACACUAACUGGAGGACCGAACCGACUAAUGUUGAAAAAUUAGCGGAUGACUUGUGGCUGGGGGUGAAAGGCCAAUCAAACCGGGAGAUAGCUGGUUCUCCCCGAAAGCUAUUUAGGUAGCGCCUCGUGAAUUCAUCUCCGGGGGUAGAGCACUGUUUCGGCAAGGGGGUCAUCCCGACUUACCAACCCGAUGCAAACUGCGAAUACCGGAGAAUGUUAUCACGGGAGACACACGGCGGGUGCUAACGUCCGUCGUGAAGAGGGAAACAACCCAGACCGCCAGCUAAGGUCCCAAAGUCAUGGUUAAGUGGGAAACGAUGUGGGAAGGCCCAGACAGCCAGGAUGUUGGCUUAGAAGCAGCCAUCAUUUAAAGAAAGCGUAAUAGCUCACUGGUCGAGUCGGCCUGCGCGGAAGAUGUAACGGGGCUAAACCAUGCACCGAAGCUGCGGCAGCGACGCUGAUGCGUUGUUGGGUAGGGGAGCGUUCUGUAAGCCUGCGAAGGUGUGCUGUGAGGCAUGCUGGAGGUAUCAGAAGUGCGAAUGCUGACAUAAGUAACGAUAAAGCGGGUGAAAAGCCCGCUCGCCGGAAGACCAAGGGUUCCUGUCCAACGUUAAUCGGGGCAGGGUGAGUCGACCCCUAAGGCGAGGCCGAAAGGCGUAGUCGAUGGGAAACAGGUUAAUAUUCCUGUACUUGGUGUUACUGCGAAGGGGGGACGGAGAAGGCUAUGUUGGCCGGGCGACGGUUGUCCCGGUUUAAGCGUGUAGGCUGGUUUUCCAGGCAAAUCCGGAAAAUCAAGGCUGAGGCGUGAUGACGAGGCACUACGGUGCUGAAGCAACAAAUGCCCUGCUUCCAGGAAAAGCCUCUAAGCAUCAGGUAACAUCAAAUCGUACCCCAAACCGACACAGGUGGUCAGGUAGAGAAUACCAAGGCGCUUGAGAGAACUCGGGUGAAGGAACUAGGCAAAAUGGUGCCGUAACUUCGGGAGAAGGCACGCUGAUAUGUAGGUGAAGCGACUUGCUCGUGGAGCUGAAAUCAGUCGAAGAUACCAGCUGGCUGCAACUGUUUAUUAAAAACACAGCACUGUGCAAACACGAAAGUGGACGUAUACGGUGUGACGCCUGCCCGGUGCCGGAAGGUUAAUUGAUGGGGUCAGCGCAAGCGAAGCUCUUGAUCGAAGCCCCGGUAAACGGCGGCCGUAACUAUAACGGUCCUAAGGUAGCGAAAUUCCUUGUCGGGUAAGUUCCGACCUGCACGAAUGGCGUAAUGAUGGCCAGGCUGUCUCCACCCGAGACUCAGUGAAAUUGAACUCGCUGUGAAGAUGCAGUGUACCCGCGGCAAGACGGAAAGACCCCGUGAACCUUUACUAUAGCUUGACACUGAACAUUGAGCCUUGAUGUGUAGGAUAGGUGGGAGGCUUGGAAGUGUGGACGCCAGUCUGCAUGGAGCCGACCUUGAAAUACCACCCUUUAAUGUUUGAUGUUCUAACGUGGACCCGU
This 1832-nucleotide ribosomal RNA is filed under the name Escherichia coli. RNAcentral describes it as "partial 23S ribosomal RNA". It matches the Rfam family "Bacterial large subunit ribosomal RNA", at positions 419 to 2236 of the family's 2925-position model. Lineage: Bacteria; Pseudomonadati; Pseudomonadota; Gammaproteobacteria; Enterobacterales; Enterobacteriaceae. The record is from RNAcentral.